RNA transcript from Syngnathoides biaculeatus (alligator pipefish), 4180 nucleotides. It is a transcript of the gene named tudor domain containing 1, with no coding region annotated. The record is from RefSeq and is a predicted model, not a curated record. The transcript has 25 exons. Lineage: Eukaryota; Metazoa; Chordata; Actinopteri; Syngnathiformes; Syngnathidae.
AUGAAAUGAUAUGUAUGCAGUUUGGAAUUCACUACAUUGAAUUCCCUGAACUUGUUUAUUUUUGGAAUAAUUUUUUUUUUGCGGAUUUUCUUAAAAUUAACAGUAUAGCUCACAAGCAGUAUGUGAAAAACGUUUGACCAAUCAGAUGGUUCUAUCAUUGCGCAUGCGUAGUGAGUGGUCCUUUUACAACCACGUGCGCUCAGACCUAACGAAAAAUCCCAUUUUUCGGUGCGCUCAACGUGGCCCAAACAUGCCCUUGCGGAAACAGUUAACCCUUCCUGUCGUGUGUCGGUUUCCUGACGUCGUCAUGUCUCCUGAUAGACCCGCCAUGCUCACCGCGUUGUCACAUGGAGCCGGACCAGCAUCACCACCAGCAAGUCGGGUUAAACCAGCUGAACUCGGGGCCGUGGCUUCACCUGUGCCCCUCUGCCACUUCUGUGGUAAGCAAGGGAAUUUGCGAUGCGCGUGUUGCAAGAAGUCAACAUACUGCUCUGCGGGGUGCCAGGCCAGUGACUGGAAGAGGCACAAACAGAUGUGCGUGCCCGUCAAGAUGGAGGGCAUAAAGGAGAAGCCGAACCAGAUCGCUGCCUCGCUUUCAGUUUUGAACAGCAUUCCUUUGGGUUCAAAGCAGGCAGUUGCAUUGGAACCUCCGCGGGUGUAUUUGAAGGACUUGCAUCCCAUUAAGAUUAAUAAGGGAACAGAUAUUCAGGCAUCUGUUGUGGAGUUCUACAACCCUGGGAGAUUUUUCCUUCUUUUCCAAAGCCCAGAGUUUUUGGAUAUUCUGCAGCGCAUCAGCAACCAGCUCCAGAAGAUCCCCAGCUCUCGUUCUUCACCGCCUUACGUUCCCCGUGUUGGAGAGGUCUGCACAGCCCAGUUCUCUGGCGAUUUGAUUUGGUAUCGAUGCCUGGUGCAGAAGUUGGCGGCUGAUCAAAGCACUGCUCGGAUGCUUUACAUCGAUUAUGGAAAUGAGGAAGACGUCCCCAUGGACAGGAUCGGACCGCUGCCUGCUGACCUUGAACCAUAUCAUCCUUGCGCGCUGGAGUGUCACGUUGCCGGCGUGGAGCUGCCUGAAGGCAACUGGUCCACUGAGUGCUGUUCAGCCAUGAAAAGGAUUCUGGCCGAUAGGGUGCUGACUGUGAGGCUGGUGGAAACCUUGGAUAAUGUUCACGGACAAGCUGUGGACAUUGAGCUUCCCAUGGGUAAGUGUCUGAGCUCAUUCCUCAUCGAGCGGGGUUUCUUAAAGAGGAAAGACAGUUCACCGACAGUGCAAGAAAUAUGUGGCAUGGAGGAUGCUUCCUUGGAAAACUUCAAGCGCCAAUCUCAGGGGAAGGACGACAACAAAUGGGCUCAGCCACCCGAGCCUCUCCUGCAGGCGGUGGGCAAUUCCUUUUCCGUCGUGGUCACACAUUUCCAGUCACCUGAUAACAUGAUUGUGCAGAAGGUGGAGAAUGCAGGCGUGAUUCAGGAGUUGCAGGUGAAUUUGAGGCAACAUUGCAGUCAGGUGUCUGCGUCCCAAAACUUCAUACCGGCACCCGGCACCAUCUGCUGCGCACAGUACUCGGAGGACAAGCAGUGGUACCGGGCCAAAGUGCUGGCGUACUCCUCAGAGAAGCGCGUUUGUGUUGGCUACAUUGAUUUCGGCAAUUCUGAGUAUGUGAAUAUAGAUUGCCUGAGACCCAUCAACUCGUCACUGCUUGCCUCGCCGAUGCAGGCGCUCCCUUGUUGCCUAGCAGGGAUACAGCCUGUCGGAAAGAGCUGGCCCGAGAAGUGUCUGUUGGUCUUGCAGAGAAGACUGUCCAACAGAAUCCUGCUCGUGAGAAUUGAGGGGGCACACGAGGGCAAAGCUCUCGUCACCAUGGUCGACGAGGACAGCGACCCUCAGGCCAACGUCGCUGAGAUGCUCAUCUCCGCUGGUUUCGCCACGCCAGCUCUGGUUCCAGUAAAGGCCAACGAGGUCUCACAGGCUGAGCAGCCUGCUCCAAAACCACAUCCGCCUUUGCCUGUGUGCAAGCCUCUGUCGUGGUCCUCAGUCGAGCUUACCACCGACGGCCAUCCAGUGGCGCUGUUAAGCGUUUUUGUGAACAACCCUGGAGAGUUUUUCUGCCGCAUUGACAAUCCUGCAGUUAAUCAGCGAAUGGUGGAGCUCAACGCUGAGGUGAAGCAGCAUUGUGAGGCCGAGGCGAUUGCUUUCGAACCCAAAGUUGGGGAACCCUGCUGUGCCAUGUCACCAGAUGACCGCGUCUGGUAUCGUGCGAUGGUCAAGAGUCAGUCUGAAGACAUGGUAGCUGUGAACUUUGUGGACUGCGGUUAUAAUCUGGAAGUGGAAAGAAGGAACCUUCGCUCCAUUAAGUCUCAACUCCUUCGGCUGCCUUUCCAAGCCGUUCGCUGCUUUCUCUCAGGUGUGGAGCCAGUGGGUUCAGAGUGGAGCAAAGAAGCCAUCUUUUGGUUCCAGAAGCAAGUGGGAGGCGAGAAGCUGUCAGCACGCGUCUUUUCUGUCAGCAAACGGGGAUAUGGCGUGGAACUGGAGUGCAGAGGCCGAAGCAUCGCAGCUGGUCUCGUCUCGAGUCUCCUUGCCAGAUGUCCUGGAGAAAUUCUCCAAAAGGCACUCCCAGGCUCGUCGCCAGGGGGUGAGCAGCGAGCGAGCAUACGAGAGACGGAGCAGAGCCAAAUCAAACCCUCCGAACAGAUGACUGUAGUGAAGGAAUUGCCAUCAGGAACAGCCUUCCCAGUGGACUGGAAGACGGUAGAAAUGUCCAUCACUGGGCCCUUCAAACCUUACAUCGCAGCUGUGAUCAGUCCUUCCCUCUUCUAUCUGCUGAGCCUCACCAAGGUGGAUCAACAGAAGCUCCAGGAGAUGAUGCUCGAGCUGGCCACCUUCUGCAAUGGCAAUCGGGCCACGUUGUCCUCAUGCACUGACCGGAGGAAACUCAGCCCUGGUGCCGCCUGCUGUGCCCAGUUCACUGCGGAUAACAACUGGUACCGUGCUGUAGUUGUGGAGCUGUGCGACGACAACGAGGUAUCAGUCAUCUACGCCGACUACGGCAACACUGAAAAGUUGUCAGUCUCCCGCAUUUUGCCGAUUCCCGAGCAUCUGCUGCAGCUCCCCUUCACAAUAGCCCGCUGUGCUCUGGCUGGCAAGGAGCAUUUUCCUGCCGAGUGGCCACCAGACAUGCUGCAGAUAUUCUACAGCUUGCUGCAGGAUGGCAUUCUUGCCACCGUGCUGUCCUUCGACAGCUUCGCCAACAUCCUUACCAUCACUCUGCCCGCUGAGAAGGGCGGGGUCAACCUCUCCGCGCUGAUCAAAGAUGCAUUGGAGAGCAGUAAUGUGCAAAGUGCACGGAGCCAGUCCGCAGCUACCGAGGCUGAGCAACUGGAGGGAAGCAGUGCUCUUCUGCCUAAAUUGACGCCUGCCGUACAGAAGAGUUUGGAAAAUACAGUGGAGGCCCCUGGGCCAGCUGUAAAUCUGGAGCAGACCUCCCACAACCCACAGCAGAUAAAAACCACCCCAGCGGAGCUCCAGAGGAGUGGGUCAAGUUUGAAUUUUACUCCCUUUUUACAGUAGGCUAUCUACUCAAUCAGUGAUUCUCAACUGGUGGUGGUUGGUGGACACUGUUAUGAGCUCUUUGCAGAUUCCCAGACCCCUGCAUGUUGCUGCCAAAGCCUGGAGACAAAGAUCGACCGUUUGGAGCAGAUGAUUGCACGUAUUGAGCAGAUGAUGGAGCUGCUGGUUUCCUCACGCGAGUAGUGUUGAACGCUUGCAGUCUUCAAUGCUGUUGUUAAAGUUCUACUGACUCUUGACCACUCUUUUAUUGUUUUAAGUUGAAGUACUGAUUGAUCUUUGUUUUAAUAUUUCCAUGUCUGUAAUAAGUGAGCUGGGCUGGUCUGGCAUCAUUUUGUUAGGAGCUUUUCACACUUUUUGGUUGUGUUUUGCAAAAACGUUUCCUCAAAAGUCUGGAUUUUUUUAUGCAUUACUGACAUCAAUAUAGCCAUUAGAACGUUGUCACAAAUAGGUUAGAAAGGGAAUAAUGUUCAGUUUUAAUCGACAAGAUCUGUGAUUUUUGACAUUGUCAUAGAAUUUAAAAAGUAAUGUGGCUGCAGACAAAAAAACACAAACCACAAUAUGAUAUAGUUACAUAUGUACAUUUUACUUUACAUUAUAGGAUAUGAUUGCUAUUUUUUU